CACACGUCUUUGGCAUCAGGAUGUCUUUCCUUCACUGCUGUUCCCUUUCCCUCAUUACCAUGGGCUCCUGCAGAACUGCUAUAGCUUGGUUUCUAUUGUUGCAAUCAAGCCAACUUGGGCAGGACAGGGUUUCUGGGCUUUUACAGGCUACAGUGUAUCAAGAGAAGCCAAGGCAGGAACUUAAGACAGAAUUACAGACAGGAACCGAGGCAGAGAGCACUUGCUUAUGGGCUUUCUCUCCAUGGCUUGCUCAGCUUGCUUUCUUAUACAACCCUGAACCGCCUGCCCACGGAGCUGGACUGUCUCACAUCAAUUAUAAAUCAAGAAAACGGCCCACAGACAUGCCGCGGCAGACCAAUCUGAUGGAGACUGCUUCACACUUGAGGUGGCUCUCCCUUCCCAGGUGAUUCUAGUUUGGAACAAAAAACGAACCAGUGCAAAGGUACACUUCUACCCUGGGAAUCCCAAAACAUAAGCUAGAUCCCCAUCCGGGGAGUGGUAACACACGCCUUUAAUUGCAGCACUCGGGAGGCAGAGGCAACAGAGCUCUGAGUUCAAGGCCAGCCAGGGCACCACACAGAAACCCUGUAUCACAACAACAACAAUAAUAUCAAAAUCCCCAGAAAACUGGGCUGGUGGGGUGACUUGGUGUGCAAGGGUACCUUCCACUACUCAGCCUGACAACCUGAGUUCAAAGAGAAGCAACUCCUAAAAGUUGCCCUCUGGCUUCGGCAUUGUUCUCUUACCCUCCCCA
RNAcentral lists this long non-coding RNA (754 nucleotides) under Rattus norvegicus (Norway rat). Its description in RNAcentral is "long non-coding RNA NONRATT005913". Lineage: Eukaryota; Metazoa; Chordata; Mammalia; Rodentia; Muridae. The record is from RNAcentral.